Polypterus senegalus (gray bichir) is the source of this 426-nucleotide long non-coding RNA. RefSeq lists it as uncharacterized. The record is from RefSeq and is a predicted model, not a curated record. The transcript has 2 exons. Lineage: Eukaryota; Metazoa; Chordata; Cladistia; Polypteriformes; Polypteridae.
GUGUGAUCAGUCAACUUCUAAAAAGCUGAAUCUGUGCUGAAAUGCUAGGCUCAGAGGCUGUUUGCUGCCCAUGGAGGGAAAUCCCACCUGAUUGUCCUGACCUCACUUCCAGUUCCACACUCAAGAGACACAUCCCUGUGCACAUCUUGUUCACUAUACUUCAGUUUUGUUUUGGACUUGCUCUGUAAAGAUUUCUAUAUUGCAUAAUUUUUUGCAUUUUUUUCCAAGUAUAUAGGGUGGACACCCCAAACUUUCAUAUUUCUACUAAUAACAAUAAACUAUAAAGUUUAAAUAAUGCCUACAGUGAUGAGAUAAGAAAUGUAUCCUGAGUUUCAUAGAAUGCUUCUGAAGCAUAUUGUUAUUUUUUCAAUUGAGAUGUGUUCUGGUGUCAUGAUUUGCUUCCAAAUAAAUUAUAAUAAAAAGAAA